This 253-nucleotide ribosomal RNA is filed under the name uncultured bacterium. Its description in RNAcentral is "partial 16S ribosomal RNA". It matches the Rfam family "Bacterial small subunit ribosomal RNA", at positions 524 to 776 of the family's 1533-position model. The record is from RNAcentral.
UACGGGGGGGGUAAGCGUUGUUCGGAAUUACAGGGCGUAAAGGGCUCGUAGGCGGCCAACUAAGUCAGACGUGAAAUCCCUCGGCUUAACCGGGGAACUGCGUCUGAUACUGGAUGGCUUGAGUUUGGGAGAGGGAUGCGGAAUUCCAGGUGUAGCGGUGAAAUGCGUAGAUAUCUGGAGGAACACCGGUGGCGAAGGCGGCAUCCUGGACCAAUACUGACACUGAAAAGCGAAAGCCAGGGGAGCAAACGGG